This 583-nucleotide ribosomal RNA is filed under the name uncultured Gammaproteobacteria bacterium. Its description in RNAcentral is "bacterial SSU rRNA". It matches the Rfam family "Bacterial small subunit ribosomal RNA", at positions 346 to 920 of the family's 1533-position model. Lineage: Bacteria; Pseudomonadati; Pseudomonadota; Gammaproteobacteria. The record is from RNAcentral.
AGGCAGCAGUGGGGAAUAUUGGACAAUGGGGGAAACCCUGAUCCAGCCAUGCCGCGUGUGUGAAGAAGGCCUUCGGGUUGUAAAGCACUUUAAGCGAGGAGGAAGGUUUGCUAGAUAAUACCUAGUAGAAUUGACGUUACUCGCAGAAUAAGCACCGGCUAACUCUGUGCCAGCAGCCGCGGUAAUACAGAGGGUGCAAGCGUUAAUCGGAAUUACUGGGCGUAAAGCGCGCGUAGGCGGUUUGUUAAGUCGGAUGUGAAAUCCCUGGGCUCAACCUAGGCACUGCAUCCGAUACUGGCUAACUAGAGUGUGGGAGAGGGAAGGUAGAAUUCCAGGUGUAGCGGUGAAAUGCGUAGAGAUCUGGAGGAAUACCGAUGGCGAAGGCAGCCUUCUGGCCUAACACUGACGCUGAGGUGCGAAAGCAUGGGGAGCAAACAGGAUUAGAUACCCUGGUAGUCCAUGCUGUAAACGAUGUCAACUAGCCGUUGGGGACCUUGAGUCUUUAGUGGCGCAGCUAACGCGAUAAGUUGACCGCCUGGGGAGUACGGUCGCAAGACUAAAACUCAAAUGAAUUGACGGGGGC